UUGAUUGAUUUAAAGAAUUUAACUUGUAGACUUGAAGAAUUUGGAGACCUCAACUUGCAGACUUGAAGAAUUUGAAGACUUCAACU
This 86-nucleotide microRNA precursor is filed under the name Solanum tuberosum (potato). RNAcentral's name for it is "MIR8024 microRNA precursor family". It matches the Rfam family "MIR8024 microRNA precursor family". The record is from Rfam by way of RNAcentral. Lineage: Eukaryota; Viridiplantae; Streptophyta; Magnoliopsida; Solanales; Solanaceae.